Molecule: long non-coding RNA, 1600 nt
Organism: Gasterosteus aculeatus aculeatus (three-spined stickleback)
Lineage: Eukaryota; Metazoa; Chordata; Actinopteri; Perciformes; Gasterosteidae
Source: Ensembl
CACGAGAGAGUUGUGCCAUGCUGUGCAGGACUACUACUGGCUCGUUAGUGAGGAGCCCCGAGGGGCGGAGAUCAGGACAUUUAGACACAGUGCUGAACGCGCAACGCGUCUGGGAUGAACGUCUGAGAAAGCUUUGGCCUUUCAAGCCAUCAGGGAACUUGGCACGCUACACGAUAGCUAAGUAACAAGCUGCCCGGCAUUCCUGUGUUAGCCCCUGAUUUCACGUUCCGGAUCCCGACACCUGCUGUGCUGAGCCGGGAACAUUUGGGUUUACGGGAACCUCAUCGGGUUCUGGUAGCCGCUCCCUCGGGAGCCUCCGCGUGGAUCACACUUCAUUAGGCCACAGUCCAGCAACGUUUCCUGUUCACCGCGGAUCUCCAGCCUCUGAGUCUCACAGUAGCAGACCGGGUUUCAUUACAGAGCUUUAGUUCUGUCGCCGGACAUUGUGAAUAUCCAUCGGGACAUCAGAGUGGGCGCUUUCUCUGAGCUGUGGUUGAUUAUGUGGUCGAUUCACUGCCUCUGAACUCUUAUCCUGUUACUUGAAUGUUCAAUAUGUUCCAAUUUUUUACCAGUCAAUUCAAAACCUUGCUUGAGAGGUUUGGAUUUUUGAUUUAAAGCCUCAGGAUUAUUUGCAAUAACUUUUGAGUUCCCUUAGCAUUUCUUCUAAACAUCACAUUUUUAUUUGUCUAAUACUUUUAUUGAUAAACAAAAAUUGAUUUAAAAAAAAAUGUACAUGCAGGCACACGUCCAAACUUUUUUGCUAAACAAAGUAGCCUCACCUGGAGGGUUGGAGCGAGCCAGCAUGCACGAGCCAUGCUGUAUUAUGGGAAAACGGCAGGUGCUCAUAAAUACUGGUUGCACGGUGCAGGCGGCUCGUGUUAUGUUUACCAAUCACAAGUUGUGUGUGUGUGUGUGUGUGUGUUUAAUAUAUCAUCAUAUAUCGUAUCAGAUGUCAUGCUGCGAUUUGCUGGGAAGCUGCUCUGAGAACGACUUGACCGAUUCGCUUUACCCUCCCAUAUCCAUUCCCCCUCCUCCCUUCUCACCCCUCCCAAUCUCUCUCCUUCAUCAUGCCUCCUCCUCCUCCUCCUCUCUGUCUUUUAUAAUCUUCUCUGCUCUUUUAUGCGGCUCGGUCCAGUAGUGUUGUUGGUCGGGUCACAGUCCGCUGCCUCUCUCUCCAUGGCGACCUCUGGGAGCAAUAAAUGGAUGUCUGUCUCCCUAAAUGUGUAAACUCACCUCACAAUCUUUCCCUGAUGCUGCCAUUUUGGAUUUAACAGAAAACACGAGCUUGUCAUCAGUGGCAUCUUGAUGACAUAAGAGCUGGUGCUAAAUGCACCAAAGGUCACACCUCACAAGCUGAACACGUUUUUGUCCACACGCACAGUGGUAACAACUCUUAUGAAGAAAUGCACAGGCAUAAUCAACAUUAGCAAAGCAUUUGAUUAAUUCUUGUGCAUUGACGUGAAUGUAGUAAACAUGAUCUGAGAUGGAUCUACGCUCUUCCCAAAUGAAAUAAACAAAGCAAUGGAGCAAAAAUAGCACCGCUUAUUUGUGGCCCUGAACACGUCAUUCAUCCGUGUACAUGCACAUGGUCUCACUGCAU